GGGCAAGUGGCGGAAUCGGUUUACGCGUACGGCUUAGGACCGUAUCCCGCAAGGGAUGUGGGUUCGAAUCCCACCUUGCCCACUA
This 85-nucleotide transfer RNA is filed under the name Candidatus Nealsonbacteria bacterium CG_4_10_14_0_2_um_filter_38_17. RNAcentral describes it as "tRNA-Leu". It matches the Rfam family "tRNA". Rfam says of the family: Transfer RNA (tRNA) molecules are approximately 80 nucleotides in length. The record is from RNAcentral. Lineage: Bacteria; Candidatus Nealsoniibacteriota.